GCGGAAGUGGCGGAACUGGCAGACGCGCUAGACUAAGGAUCCAGUGAGGUAACACUCGUGGAGGUUCGAGUCCUCUCUUCCGCACCA
Molecule: transfer RNA, 87 nt
Filed under: Deltaproteobacteria bacterium
Lineage: Bacteria; Pseudomonadati; Myxococcota; Myxococcia
Also listed under: 1 other name
Description: tRNA-Leu
Rfam family: tRNA
About the family: Transfer RNA (tRNA) molecules are approximately 80 nucleotides in length.
Source: RNAcentral